Molecule: ribosomal RNA, 2251 nt
Filed under: Salmonella enterica
Lineage: Bacteria; Pseudomonadati; Pseudomonadota; Gammaproteobacteria; Enterobacterales; Enterobacteriaceae
Also listed under: 1 other name
Description: partial 23S ribosomal RNA
Rfam family: Bacterial large subunit ribosomal RNA
Source: RNAcentral
AGACCCGAAACCCGGUGAUCUAGCCAUGGGCAGGUUGAAGGUUGGGUAACACUAACUGGAGGACCGAACCGACUAAUGUUGAAAAAUUAGCGGAUGACCUGUGGCUGGGGGUGAAAGGCCAAUCAAACCGGGAGAUAGCUGGUUCUCCCCGAAAGCUAUUUAGGUAGCGCCUCGUGAAUUCAUCUCCGGGGGUAGAGCACUGUUUCGGCUAGGGGGCCAUCCCGGCUUACCAACCCGAUGCAAACUGCGAAUACCGGAGAAUGUUAUCACGGGAGACACACGGCGGGUGCUAACGUCCGUCGUGAAGAGGGAAACAACCCAGACCGCCAGCUAAGGUCCCAAAGUCAUGGUUAAGUGGGAAACGAUGUGGGAAGGCCCAGACAGCCAGGAUGUUGGCUUAGAAGCAGCCAUCAUUUAAAGAAAGCGUAAUAGCUCACUGGUCGAGUCGGCCUGCGCGGAAGAUGUAACGGGGCUAAACCAUGCACCGAAGCUGCGGCAGCGACGCUUAUGCGUUGUUGGGUAGGGGAGCGUUCUGUAAGCCUGUGAAGGUGGCCUGUGAGGGUUGCUGGAGGUAUCAGAAGUGCGAAUGCUGACAUAAGUAACGAUAAAGCGGGUGAAAAGCCCGCUCGCCGGAAGACCAAGGGUUCCUGUCCAACGUUAAUCGGGGCAGGGUGAGUCGACCCCUAAGGCGAGGCCGAAAGGCGUAGUCGAUGGGAAACGGGUUAAUAUUCCCGUACUUGGUGUUACUGCGAAGGGGGGACGGAGAAGGCUAUGUUGGCCGGGCGACGGUUGUCCCGGUUUAAGCGUGUAGGUGUGUGUUCCAGGUAAAUCCGGUUCACUUUAACACUGAGGCGUGACGACGAGGCACUACGGUGCUGAAGCAACAAAUGCCCUGCUUCCAGGAAAAGCCUCUAAGCAUCAGGUAACAUCAAAUCGUACCCCAAACCGACACAGGUGGUCAGGUAGAGAAUACCAAGGCGCUUGAGAGAACUCGGGUGAAGGAACUAGGCAAAAUGGUGCCGUAACUUCGGGAGAAGGCACGCUGACAUGUAGGUGAAGUGAUUUACUCACGGAGCUGAAGUCAGUCGAAGAUACCAGCUGGCUGCAACUGUUUAUUAAAAACACAGCACUGUGCAAACACGAAAGUGGACGUAUACGGUGUGACGCCUGCCCGGUGCCGGAAGGUUAAUUGAUGGGGUCAGCGCAAGCGAAGCUCCUGAUCGAAGCCCCGGUAAACGGCGGCCGUAACUAUAACGGUCCUAAGGUAGCGAAAUUCCUUGUCGGGUAAGUUCCGACCUGCACGAAUGGCGUAAUGAUGGCCAGGCUGUCUCCACCCGAGACUCAGUGAAAUUGAACUCGCUGUGAAGAUGCAGUGUACCCGCGGCAAGACGGAAAGACCCCGUGAACCUUUACUAUAGCUUGACACUGAACAUUGAGCCUUGAUGUGUAGGAUAGGUGGGAGGCUUUGAAGUGUGGACGCCAGUCUGCAUGGAGCCGACCUUGAAAUACCACCCUUUAAUGUUUGAUGUUCUAACGUGGACCCGUAAUCCGGGUUGCGGACAGUGUCUGGUGGGUAGUUUGACUGGGGCGGUCUCCUCCUAAAGAGUAACGGAGGAGCACGAAGGUUGGCUAAUCCUGGUCGGACAUCAGGAGGUUAGUGCAAUGGCAUAAGCCAGCUUGACUGCGAGCGUGACGGCGCGAGCAGGUGCGAAAGCAGGUCAUAGUGAUCCGGUGGUUCUGAAUGGAAGGGCCAUCGCUCAACGGAUAAAAGGUACUCCGGGGAUAACAGGCUGAUACCGCCCAAGAGUUCAUAUCGACGGCGGUGUUUGGCACCUCGAUGUCGGCUCAUCACAUCCUGGGGCUGAAGUAGGUCCCAAGGGUAUGGCUGUUCGCCAUUUAAAGUGGUACGCGAGCUGGGUUUAGAACGUCGUGAGACAGUUCGGUCCCUAUCUGCCGUGGGCGCUGGAGAACUGAGGGGGGCUGCUCCUAGUACGAGAGGACCGGAGUGGACGCAUCACUGGUGUUCGGGUUGUCAUGCCAAUGGCACUGCCCGGUAGCUAAAUGCGGAAGAGAUAAGUGCUGAAAGCAUCUAAGCACGAAACUUGCCCCGAGAUGAGUUCUCCCUGAGACUUAGAGUCUCCUGAAGGAACGUUGAAGACGACGACGUUGAUAGGCCGGGUGUGUAAGCGCAGCGAUGCGUUGAGCUAACCGGUACUAAUGAACCGUGAGGCUUAACCUUACAACGCCGAAG